Molecule: non-coding RNA, 131 nt
Organism: Xenopus laevis (African clawed frog)
Lineage: Eukaryota; Metazoa; Chordata; Amphibia; Anura; Pipidae
Source: Rfam
UUUGGAGGGAUAAAAAAAGCAAAGUCUGAGAAGUGAGACUCUGCUGAUACCACCCUCCUACAGUAACAGGGCGGAGAGAGAGCAGUUCGGCUCUGAGAUUCAGCCACUGCUCCCUGCACCAUCCGACAUUG